Molecule: ribosomal RNA, 491 nt
Filed under: uncultured bacterium
Lineage: Bacteria
Description: partial 16S ribosomal RNA
Rfam family: Bacterial small subunit ribosomal RNA
Source: RNAcentral
AGUGAACGCUGGCGGUAGGCCUAACACAUGCAAGUCGAACGGCAGCACAGUAAGAGCUUGCUCUUACGGGUGGCGAGUGGCGGACGGGUGAGGAAUACAUCGGAAUCUACUUUUUCGUGGGGGAUAACGUAGGGAAACUUACGCUAAUACCGCAUACGACCUACGGGUGAAAGCAGGGGAUCUUCGGACCUUGCGCGAUUGAAUGAGCCGAUUUCGGAUUAGCUAGUUGGCGGGGUAAAGGCCCACCAAGGCGACGAUCCGUAGCUGGUCUGAGAGGAUGAUCAGCCGCACUGGAACUGAGACACGGUCCAGACGCCUACGGGAGGCAGAAGUGGGGAAUAUUGGAAAAUGGGCGCAAGCCUGAUCCAGCCAUACCGCGUGGGUGAAGAAGGCCUUCGGGUUGUAAAGCCCUUUUGUUGGGAAAGAAAAGCAGCAGGUUAAUACCCCGCCGUUCUGACGGUACCCAAAGAAUAAGCACCGGCUAGCUUCGU